Molecule: ribosomal RNA, 279 nt
Filed under: uncultured bacterium
Lineage: Bacteria
Description: partial 16S ribosomal RNA
Rfam family: Bacterial small subunit ribosomal RNA
Source: RNAcentral
UGCCAGCAGCCGCGGUAAUACGGAGGGGGUUAGCGUUGUUCGGAAUUACUGGGCGUAAAGCGCACGUAGGCGGACUAUUAAGUCAGGGGUGAAAUCCCGGAGCUCAACUCCGGAACUGCCUUUGAUACUGGAAGUCUUGAGUCCGAGAGAGGUGAGUGGAACUCCGAGUGUAGAGGUGAAAUUCGUAGAUAUUCGGAAGAACACCAGUGGCGAAGGCGGCUUUCUGGACCGAUACUGACGCUGAGACGCGAAAGCGUGGGGAGCAAACAGGAUUAGAUA